UACGAAGGGGGCUAGCGUUAUCCGGAUUCACUGGGUUUAAAGGGUGCGUAGGUGGGCAGGUAAGUCAGUGGUGAAAUCUUUGGGCUUAACCCGAAAACUGCCAUUGAUACUAUUUGUCUUGAAUGUCGUGGAGGUUAGCGGAAUAUGUCAUGUAGCGGUGAAAUGCUUAGAGAUGACAUAGAACACCUAUUGCGAAGGCAGCUCGCUACACUAUCAUUGACGCUGAGGCACGAAAGCGUGGGGAUCAAACAGG
This 253-nucleotide ribosomal RNA is filed under the name uncultured bacterium. Its description in RNAcentral is "partial 16S ribosomal RNA". It matches the Rfam family "Bacterial small subunit ribosomal RNA", at positions 524 to 776 of the family's 1533-position model. The record is from RNAcentral.